CUUGUAAUGAGGGAAGCUCGCAAGAGCAAGGAUACAGGUGGUGCAUGGUUGUCGUCAGCUCGUGUCGUGAGAUGUUGGGUUAAGUCCCGCAACGAGCGCAACCCUUGUUGUUAAUUGCUAACAGGUUAAGCUGAGCACUUUAGCGAGACAGCCUAGGUUAACUAGGAGGAAGGUGGGGAUGACGUCAAAUCAUCAUGCCCCUUACGUUUAGGGCUACACACGUGCUACAAUGGUGAGAACAGAGAGAAGCAAGCUAGUGAUAGUGAGCAAAACUUAUAAAACUCAUCUCAGUUCGGAUUGCAGGCUGAAACUCGCCUGUAUGAAGAUGGAGUUGCUAGUAAUCGCGAAUCAGAAUGUCGCGGUGAAUACGUUCCCGGGUCUUGUACACACCGCCCGUCACACCAUGAGAGUUGGCAACACCCGAAACCUGUGGGCUAACCAUAUAGGAGGCAGCAGUCUAAGGUGGGGUCAGUGAUUGGGGUGAAGUCGUAACAAGGUAGCCGUAGGAGAACCUGCGG
Molecule: ribosomal RNA, 518 nt
Filed under: uncultured bacterium
Lineage: Bacteria
Description: bacterial SSU rRNA
Rfam family: Bacterial small subunit ribosomal RNA
Source: RNAcentral